RNAcentral lists this ribosomal RNA (253 nucleotides) under uncultured bacterium. RNAcentral's name for it is "partial 16S ribosomal RNA". It matches the Rfam family "Bacterial small subunit ribosomal RNA", at positions 524 to 776 of the family's 1533-position model. The record is from RNAcentral.
UACGAAGGGGGCUAGCGUUGCUCGGAAUCACUGGGCGUAAAGGGUGCGUAGGCGGGUCUUUAAGUCAGGGGUGAAAUCCUGGAGCUCAACUCCAGAACUGCCUUUGAUACUGAAGAUCUUGAGUUCGGGAGAGGUGAGUGGAAUUCCCAGUGUAGAGGUGAAAUUCGUAGAUAUUGGGAAGAACACCGGUGGCGAAGGCGGCUCACUGGCUCGUUUCUGACGCUCAGGCGCGACAGCGUGGGGAUCAAACAGG